CCUGACUUCCGGAAGUCACUUAAGGUAUAAAUAUGGCUGCGUCGGCGCGUCUCUGUCUUUUUAGGCGCUGCUUUCGUGCUCCUCUGGCUCUCGAGCCAAUCCGUGAUUCCAAGUACCUUGUUGACGGAGGAAAGAAAAGGAUCUGUACAGACACUGAAGAUAUGCAUUAUACAAAGAUUUGAAGUAUAUGCAUUAUGGUGAAAUUUUGUAUUAGUACCUCAUCCAUUAGAAGCUAGAUAGGCAUUUCUGCUUGCUUAUUCUGUCUGAUAAAUAUUUUUUGGUAGGUUAUAGCUUUGAGAAACUUAAGGUUCUCCUUGAGGUCCAACGUCCGUGCAGUGUUUAGGGGGGCAUACAGGACCUUAGUAUUGUAGAUACAAGCUUAUCUUUUGUUCCCACAUUCUCUUUAAGAUCAUAAGUUCAAAUCCACACUGGGUUAUAGGAUCUAGUUUUAAUCUAUGAAUGUUUGUGAUAUACCUAAUAAAUCUCAAUUAAAGCUUUUCAAUGA
This is a long non-coding RNA of Apodemus sylvaticus (European woodmouse), 505 nucleotides long. RefSeq lists it as uncharacterized. Lineage: Eukaryota; Metazoa; Chordata; Mammalia; Rodentia; Muridae. The record is from RefSeq and is a predicted model, not a curated record. The transcript has 3 exons.